Molecule: ribosomal RNA, 490 nt
Filed under: uncultured bacterium
Lineage: Bacteria
Description: partial 16S ribosomal RNA
Rfam family: Bacterial small subunit ribosomal RNA
Source: RNAcentral
AUUGAACGCUGGCGGCAGGCCUAACACAUGCAAGUCGAACGGUAACAGGAAGCAUCUUUCUGCUUUUCUUACGAUUGUCUGUCGGGUCUGUUAUGUCUCGGAAACUGCCCGUUGCAGUGGGAUAACUACUGGUAACGUUAUCUAUUACCGCAUAACUUCUCAUGACCUAUGAUGCUGACCUUAUGGCCUCUUUCCAUCUGAUCUGCCUAGAUGUGAUUAUCUAGUAGGUGGGGGAACGUCUCACCUAGGCGACGAUCCCUAGCUGUUGUGAGAGGAUGACCAGACACACUGGAACUGAGACACGGUCCAGACUACUACGGGAGGCAGCAGUGGGGAAUAUUGCACAAUGGGCGCAAGCCUGAUGCAGCCAUGCCGCGUGUAUGAAGAAGGCCUUCGGGUUGUAAAGUACUUUCAGCGGGGAGGAAGGGAGUAAAGUUAAUACCUUUGCUCAUUGACGUUACCCGGAGAAGAAGCACCGGCUAACUCCGUG